RNAcentral lists this ribosomal RNA (460 nucleotides) under uncultured bacterium. RNAcentral describes it as "partial 16S ribosomal RNA". It matches the Rfam family "Bacterial small subunit ribosomal RNA", at positions 338 to 795 of the family's 1533-position model. The record is from RNAcentral.
CCUACGGGAGGCAGCAGUGAGGAAUAUUGGUCAAUGGACGAGAGUCUGAACCAGCCAAGUAGCGUGAAGGAUGACUGCCCUAUGGGUUGUAAACUUCUUUUAUAUGGGAAUAAAACGUUCCACGUGUGGGAUUUUGUAUGUACCAUAGGAAUAAGGAUCGGCUAACUCCGCGCCAGCAGCCGCGGUAAUACGGAGGAUCCGAGCGUUAUCCGGAUUUAUUGGGUUUAAAGGGAGCGUAGGUGGAUUGUUAAGUCAGUUGUGAAAGUUUGCGGCUCAACCGUAAAAUUGCAGUUGAAACUGGCAGUCUUGAGUACAGUAGAGGUGGGCGGAAUUCGUGGUGUAGCGGUGAAAUGCUUAGAUAUCACGAAGAACUCCGAUUGCGAAGGCAGUUCACUGGACUGCAACUGACACUGAGGCUCGAAAGUGUGGGUAUCAAACAGGAUUAGAUACCCCUGUAGUC